GACGAACGCUGGCGGCGUGCUUAACACAUGCAAGUCGAACGAUGACGACCGAGCUUGCUCUGUCUGAUUAGUGGCGAACGGGUGAGUAACACGUGAGCAACCUGCCCUUCACUCUGGGACAACCUCGGGAAAUCGGGGCUAAUACCGGCGAUGAGCUCCUGUCGCAUGGCGGGCGUUGGAACGUUUUCCGGUGAAGGAUGGGCUCGCGGCCUAUCUGUUUGUUGGUGUGGUGGUGGCUCAACAAGGCGAUGAGGGGUAGCCGGCCUGGGAGGGCGACCGGCCACACUGGGACUGAGAGACGGCCCAGACUCCUACGGGAGGCAGCAGUGGGGAAUAUUGCACAAUGGGCGAAAGCGUGAUGCAGCGACGCCGCGUGAGGGAUGACGGCCUUCGGGUGGUAAACCUCAUUCAGCAGGGAAGAAGCGAAAGUGACGGUACCUGCAGAAGAAGCGCCGGCUAACUACGUG
Molecule: ribosomal RNA, 467 nt
Filed under: uncultured bacterium
Lineage: Bacteria
Description: partial 16S ribosomal RNA
Rfam family: Bacterial small subunit ribosomal RNA
Source: RNAcentral